GCCUCCGUGUGGGUUCCAGGCUUUGCUUCCCGGAGCGGUUUGCAAGCGGACGGCGUGAGAGGAGGAACUCGCAGAGGUAAUUCGGCAGCACUGCUGACCCGUCGACGCCCGCAGCAACGGUUUGGCGGGACAGAUGCGGCCCUUGGACGUCGUCGAGCUGGCAGAGCCGGAGGAGGUGGAGGUGCUGGAGCCCGAGGAGGAUUUCGAGCAGUUCCUGCUGCCCGUCAUCAACGAGAUGCGGGAGGACAUCGCGGCGCUGACCCGGGAGCACGGCCGGGCGUACCUGCGGAACCGGAGCAAGCUGUGGGAGAUGGACAAUAUGCUCAUCCAAAUCAAAACGCAGGUGGAGGCCUCGGAGGAGAGCGCCCUGAACCAUCUUCAGAAUCCCGACGAGGGAGUCGAGGGCAGAGGGACCAAACGGUGCGAGAAGGCGGAGGAGAAGGCCAAGGAGAUCGCGAAGAUGGCAGAGAUGUUGGUGGAGCUGGUCCGGCGGAUAGAGAGAAGCGAAUCGUCGUGAAGGAGGGCGGGCGGUUGCAGAAAUCUGGGACUCAGUGUCUUGAUGGCAAAUUUCUGCCAGUUGUGCGUCGGGUGCACAGCUCAUGGACUCUGGUCACCUGAUACAUCCUGUGCUUUCCUUUCCCCAACGCUGGGCCUGUGGCUGGCUGUUUCUUCAAUCACCAUCUUAAUCCAGUGAUCAAAGUGGACAUGACCAGAAAUGGGACAGACCGACACUGCGUGCCAUCUGAUAAGAUGCCGUGAGAAGAGCAUCGCAUCACUGCUGGGACAUUCUUGCCAAAGGUACACAACCCAGGCCCAGUCACGAGCAAACCUCAGACAACCUCAACUCGAAGGAAAUUCUGCAAAAUUAUUAGCUCGUAAUCCUCAAAAGUGUCGAGGUCAUGCAAGUCUGGGAAAGGCGGUGUAAACGUGAUCCCUUUGCUCUAUAAAAGACCUUAUUAGGAACAAUUGGCUGGGCAGGGUGCCUGGGUGGCUCAGUCAGAGGAGCCUCCGACUUGGGCUCAGGUCAUGAUCUCACGGUUCGUGGGUUCGAGCCCCGCAUGGGGCUCUGUGCUGACAGCUCGGAGCCUGGAGCCUGCUUCGGAUUCUGUGUCUCCCUCUCUCUCUCUGCCCCUCCCCCCUCCACUUGUGCUGUGUCUCUCUCUCUCUCAAAAAGAAACAGGAAAACAAAAAAGAACAGUUGGCAAAACUUGAACCGGGUCUUGAGAUGAGAUGGCGGUAAUGGGUUGGGGUGCGUUUUCUGACGGCGGCGGCUGCCCCCUGAUCACGUAGGGGGUUGCAGCUUGGAGGACAUUCACUGAAGUCUUCAGGGGGCAGAUCAGCAGAUCAGCGGCUUAUUCUCAGAUCCUGCGGAAAAAUAAAAUUCUUUAUACUCUG
RNA transcript from Prionailurus viverrinus (fishing cat), 1395 nucleotides. It is a transcript of the gene named MORF4 family-associated protein 1, with no coding region annotated. The record is from RefSeq and is a predicted model, not a curated record. Lineage: Eukaryota; Metazoa; Chordata; Mammalia; Carnivora; Felidae. The transcript is spliced from 3 exons.